CCUACGGGAGGCAGCAGUGGGGAAUCUUGCGCAAUGGGCGAAAGCCUGACGCAGCAACGCCGCGUGCGGGAAGAAGGCUUUCGGGCUGUAAACCGCUUUCAGCAGGAACGAAAAUGACGGUACCUGCAGAAGAAGGAGCGGCCAACUAUGUGCCAGCAGCCGCGGUGAUACAUAGGCUUCAAGCGUUGUCCGGAUUUAUUGGGCGUAAAGAGUUCGUAGGCGGUCAAGUAAGUCGGGUGUGAAAAUUCUGGGCUCAACCCAGAGACGCCACCCGAUACUGCUUAACUUGAGUUCGAUAGGGGAGUGGGGAAUUCCUAGUGUAGCGGUGAAAUGCGCAGAUAUUAGGAGGAACACCGGUGGCGAAGGCGCCACUCUGGAUCGAUACUGACGCUGAGGAACGAAAGCAUGGGUAGCAAACAGGAUUAGAUACCCUGGUAGUCCAUGCCGUAAACGGUGGGCACUAGGUGUGGGUUUCUAUUACGAAAUCCGNGCCGUCGCUAACGCAUUAAGUGCCCCGCCUGGGGAGUACGGUCGCGAGACGUAAACGUACAANAGAAGUUAAGUACGGCGUUGAGACGUUGCCGAACGGACGACGACGAGGGAGGAGG
This 608-nucleotide ribosomal RNA is filed under the name uncultured bacterium. RNAcentral's name for it is "bacterial SSU rRNA". It matches the Rfam family "Bacterial small subunit ribosomal RNA", at positions 338 to 1533 of the family's 1533-position model. The record is from RNAcentral.